AAGAAAAAAAUAUCAAAAUAUAAUAUAUUUUUGUACCAAUCGGUAGAGAAGAAGGCAGUCUAAUAUUUGUGCUGAAAAUACUUGUUUUGGUGUUUUUUCUUUUUUCCCAAUGAAUGUUAAAAGAGGUUCUCGCUUCCGCCCCCAUCUCGCCUUCCAAAUGCCAACAUUUGGAGCAACAGAAAAGGAAAACCUCACUGGUCUAAAUACUUGCAAUUUUCUACUUUUAUUUUAUGGGUUCUAUACACAAUUAUAAACCAUGAGCAUUGGUUGCCAUUAAAACUUUGAGGAAAAUCCUGAGGGUAAAUCAAUCUGUUUCUGUCCCCACCUCUCUGUCUCUUGUCUGUCCUUUCACAAGUCCCAGAUAAAAUGAUCCCUCCUUAUGUUUCCUCCCCUGGAAUGUUUUUCCCGCCUUGCGCCACUUUUUAAAAAGCAGUUCCCAGUUAAUAAACCUCCCAUGUUUGCAUACCACUGCCCAGUUUCCAUAGAACUUGUGAAUAAAGCACCUUUUCCCAUCGUUACGUGAAUGUGGGGUAAGCAUAUAGCACAUAGAGAUUAUGAUUCCCAUUUUACAGAUAAGGCAACUGAGUCUCAGGGACGUUAAAUGACUUACUGUAAGGCUGGACAGUGGACCUUGGGCAAAACCCCAUCUUCUCCUUGUUCCCUAUAUCCUGCCACUUUUUCCAGAGAGAACGGGAAAUAAGGCAUCUCUACUUCUAGAAACGGUUAGCUAGUUUGGGAAUGAUCAGAGGUAGGACAGAGAGGGUGUCCUAUUGCCUUCUAAAGUUCCAGGCUGCUUUGUGACAGUCACAAUGAGUCACCUAAGUUCCAGGACAGCACUCAGACAUGGACACAAUAUCCUUUAAGAGCCAGUCUUGGCUUGUUGAAAUACCCUGAAACACCAGUCUUGGUUUGGUUGACGUUGACUGAAAUUAUUGGAUUCGUUUCUGGAAAACCAGAUGGAUAAUCACACUAGGAACAGGGGGAAAAAAUGGUCUUCAAAGUCGGAAUAAACCUAACGGAUCCAUUCUCCAUUUGGCACUUAAAUCCUUUCUGUAACUGGCUACACGGGGGUUUAAAUCAUUACUGUGUCUGGAAAUUUUUCACUCUUGAUUUUGCUUUUGUUGGAAAGAAGAUCAAUUUCUCCUAA
RNAcentral lists this long non-coding RNA (1147 nucleotides) under Suricata suricatta (meerkat). RNAcentral describes it as "lncRNA (ENSSSUG00005019577.1)". The record is from RNAcentral. Lineage: Eukaryota; Metazoa; Chordata; Mammalia; Carnivora; Herpestidae.